This 520-nucleotide ribosomal RNA is filed under the name uncultured bacterium. Its description in RNAcentral is "bacterial SSU rRNA". It matches the Rfam family "Bacterial small subunit ribosomal RNA", at positions 36 to 518 of the family's 1533-position model. The record is from RNAcentral.
CGUCAGAACGAACGACUGGCGGCAGGCCUAACACAUGCAAGUCGAGCGUGAAAGGGGCUUCGGCCCUGAGUAAAGCGGCGCACGGGUGAGUAACACGUGAAUAAUCUGCCCCCAUGACCGGGAUAACAGACCGAAAGGACUGCUAAUACCGGAUAAGCUUCCGCGCCAACCGGGCGUGCGGGGAAAAGGACGGGACCUUCGGGCCGUCCGCAUGAGGAUGAGUUCGCGUUCCAUUAGAUAGUUGGUGAGGUAAUGGCUCACCAAGUCGACGAUGGAUAGCUGGUCUAAGAGGAUGAUCAGCCACACUGGAACUGAGACACGGUCCAGACUCCUACGGGAGGCAGCAGUGGGGAAUCUUGCGCAAUGGAGGAAACUCUGACGCAGCCAUGCCGCGUGAAGUGAUGAAGGCCCUCGGGUUGUAAAGCUCUGUCUAAGGGGACGAAUGGCGCACGGAACAAGACAUCGUGCGAUUGACGGUACCCUUAAAGAAAACACCGGCUAACUCCGUGCCAGCCGCGGC